AAGAGCUAAGAAGGAUAGCAUGUUGAGGCUUCUUUCGAGGGGCUGAGCUUAUGCAUAUAUAUUAUAUAUAUAUACAUAUAUGUAUAUAUAUAUAAUAUAU
This 100-nucleotide non-coding RNA is filed under the name Partenskyella glossopodia. Lineage: Eukaryota; Cercozoa; Chlorarachniophyceae. The record is from RNAcentral.